RNAcentral lists this ribosomal RNA (496 nucleotides) under uncultured Glomus. RNAcentral's name for it is "SSU rRNA". It matches the Rfam family "Eukaryotic small subunit ribosomal RNA", at positions 582 to 1089 of the family's 1831-position model. Lineage: Eukaryota; Fungi; Glomeromycota; Glomeromycetes; Glomerales; Glomeraceae. The record is from RNAcentral.
UAAUUCCAGCUCCAAAUAGCGUAUAAUUAAAGUUGUUGCAGUUAAAAAGCUCGUAGUUGAAUUUCGGGAUCAAUACGUCGGUCGUGCCUCUGGUAUGUACUGGUGUUAUUGAUUCCUCCUUUCUGAUGAACCAUGAUGUCAUUAAUUUGGUGUUGUGGGGAGUCAGGACUGUUACUUUGAAAAAAUUAGAGUGUUUAAAGCAGGCCUACGCUUGAAUACAUUAGCAUGGAAUAAUGAAAUAGGACGUUCGAACCUAUUUUGUUGGUUUCUAGGAUCAACGUAAUGAUUAAUAGGGAUAGUUGGGGGCAUUAGUAUUCAAUUGUCAGAGGUGAAAUUCUUGGAUUUAUUGAAGACUAACUACUGCGAAAGCAUUUGCCAAGGAUGUUUUCAUUAAUCAAGAACGAAAGYUAGGGGAUCGAAGACGAUCAGAUACCGUCGUAGUCUUAACCAUAAACUAUGCCGACUAGGGAUCGGAUGAUGUUAAUUUUUUAAUUGA